UUUGUACAUUUGGAUUUAGGUUAGCCCUUAAGAUCUUACCUACCAUUUACCUUAGAAAAAUUUUAAAUAGUAUGUAAGAUAUUUUUUUAGGGUUUUAAAUUAGUUUUAAAUAUCGUAUAGGAUUAGAAUCUUAAGUUAAUUUGUAAAUAUCUUUUAGGGCUUUAUUCAAGAUUAAAACUAAAAAUUUUUGUAGGUGAAUUGUAAAUCAUGAGUAGGUGUUUCUAAGUAUUUUAUUUUAGAAACUUUUUUAAGAAAGCUAAUAAAUGUUAUUUAAGAUUUAUUAUUUUAGGAUUUUGACGAAUUUAAAUCUUAGAUCAAGAAUU
RNAcentral lists this long non-coding RNA (323 nucleotides) under Gossypium barbadense (sea-island cotton). Its description in RNAcentral is "long non-coding RNA (GBAR_LNC017328)". The record is from RNAcentral. Lineage: Eukaryota; Viridiplantae; Streptophyta; Magnoliopsida; Malvales; Malvaceae.